Molecule: ribosomal RNA, 303 nt
Filed under: uncultured bacterium
Lineage: Bacteria
Description: partial 16S ribosomal RNA
Rfam family: Bacterial small subunit ribosomal RNA
Source: RNAcentral
AGCAGUCGCCGCGGGAAUACGUAGGGUGCAAGCGUUAAUCGGAAUUACUGGGCGUAAAGCGUGCGCAGGCGGUGUUGUAAGACUGAUGUGAAAUCCCCGGGCUCAACCUGGGAACUGCAUUGGUGACUGCAACGCUGGAGUGCGGCAGAGGGGGAUGGAAUUCCGCGUGUAGCAGUGAAAUGCGUAGAUAUGCGGGGGAACACCGAUGGCGAAGGCAAUCCCCUGGGCCUGCACUGACGCUCAUGCACGAAAGCGUGGGGAGCAAACAGGAUUAGAUACCCCGGUAGUCCCUGUCUCUUAUAC